UACGUAGGGGGCAAGCGUUGUCCGGAAUCAUUGGGCGUAAAGAGCGUGUAGGUGGCUCGGUAAGUCCGCUGUGAAAGUCCAGGGCUCAACCCUGGAAAGCCGGUGGAAACUGUCAAGCUUGAGUCCGGAAGAGGCGAGUGGAAUUCCUGGUGUAGCGGUGAAAUGCGCAGAUAUCAGGAGGAACACCAAUGGCGAAGGCAGCUCGCUGGGACGGUACUGACGCUGAGACGCGAAAGCGUGGGGAGCAAACAGG
RNAcentral lists this ribosomal RNA (253 nucleotides) under uncultured bacterium. RNAcentral's name for it is "partial 16S ribosomal RNA". It matches the Rfam family "Bacterial small subunit ribosomal RNA", at positions 524 to 776 of the family's 1533-position model. The record is from RNAcentral.